Molecule: microRNA precursor, 81 nt
Organism: Pan paniscus (pygmy chimpanzee)
Lineage: Eukaryota; Metazoa; Chordata; Mammalia; Primates; Hominidae
Source: Ensembl
UAUUAGGUUGGUGCAAAAGUAAUUGCAGUUUUUGCCAUUACUUUUAAGGGCACAAAACCCAAUUACUUUUGCAUCAACCUA